RNAcentral lists this non-coding RNA (27 nucleotides) under Mus musculus (house mouse). The record is from RNAcentral. Lineage: Eukaryota; Metazoa; Chordata; Mammalia; Rodentia; Muridae.
GUGGUGGUGGUGGUGGUGGUGGUGUUU